RNAcentral lists this ribosomal RNA (253 nucleotides) under uncultured bacterium. RNAcentral's name for it is "partial 16S ribosomal RNA". It matches the Rfam family "Bacterial small subunit ribosomal RNA", at positions 524 to 776 of the family's 1533-position model. The record is from RNAcentral.
UACGUAGGUGGCAAGCGUUGUCCGGAUUUAUUGGGUUUAAAGGGUGCGUAGGCGGUCUAUUAAGUCAGUGCUGAAAUAUCCCGGCUUAACCGGGAGGGUGGCAUUGAUACUGAUGGACUUGAGUGCAGUCGAGGUAGGCGGAAUUGACGGUGUAGCGGUGAAAUGCUUAGAUAUCGUCAAGAACACCGAUAGUGAAGACAGCUUACUAGACUGUAACUGACGCUGAGGCACGAAAGUGUGGGGAGCAAACAGG